CAGUAGCCGCGGUAAUACGUAGGGUGCGAGCGUUAAUCGGAAUUACUGGGCGUAAAGCGUGCGCAGGCGGUUCGUUAAGACAGAUGUGAAAUCCCCGGGCUUAACCUGGGAACUGCAUUUGUGACUGACGGGCUAGAGUAUGGCAGAGGGGGGUAGAAUUCCACGUGUAGCAGUGAAAUGCGUAGAGAUGUGGAGGAAUACCGAUGGCGAAGGCAGCCCCCUGGGCCAAUACUGACGCUCAUGCACGAAAGCGUGGGGAGCAAACAGGAUUAGAUACCCCAGUAGUCCCUGUCUCUUAUCA
Molecule: ribosomal RNA, 301 nt
Filed under: uncultured bacterium
Lineage: Bacteria
Description: partial 16S ribosomal RNA
Rfam family: Bacterial small subunit ribosomal RNA
Source: RNAcentral